AUACUAUUACGAUACACAUUACAUAUACAUGUAUUAUGUUUUAUAUAUAUAUAUAUAUAUUGUUAUUAUCAUAUUUUAUCAGCGCGCGACGGACGGAGGAGUGAGGAGGACUACGUCGUUCGUCACGCGGCGUGUCGGCGGCGGCGGGAGGAGCACAAUGGAACAAGGUUGCCAGGCAGCCGAGAACAGCUGAGCGGUGUUGGCCGACUUGUCGUGUGCGCCGUGCGGAAAGUCGACCGAACGUACACCACGACUGUGAACUCUUUUCUAUGGGUGCACUAGUGCAUUGUUACACUGGUGCGCGCGUGGAUGUAGAUAAUAAAGAAUAUGAUAUUAAUCGAUGAGAAAACGUCUGCCUGGUUUGUUGCGAGUUUGAAACUUUUAAAAUCCUGUGCAUUAUUUUUCACUUAGUUCUUGAUGCAUUUUCUUUCACCAACUAUUCCCUACUCCCUUCAGAACUGACCCACCUCGAGGACAUCCAACAUUAGGCCAGACCGUUGAUAUUUAAGUAUUCAAAGCAUAUCCAAAGACUAAUUAAAAUUCAAUAUUAUAGUUUUAUAACAAGAUUGUUCAACUGUUCAAUAAAUACAAUUUGCAUUGUUCCUGAAAAUAAUAUUGGAUAUUUAUGUUCACAUGCUGUUCAUCUGAGUUGAAGAAUAUCAUGGAAGAAUAUUUUAACAGAAUUGAAACUAUAGAAGAUCCAAAGUUUACUUCAACAAUAAAGUUCAACAAUUAAAAGUAUAAUGAUGAUUGAUGAGUUGUUUUAAAAUUUGGCAAGACACAGUAUAUAAUAUUAUUCUAAUUUAGAUGCAUUCAAGUAUAAUCAUGGGUGAAAUUAAACAUUUUCACUAGAUU
This 855-nucleotide long non-coding RNA is filed under the name Rhopalosiphum maidis (corn leaf aphid). Its description in RNAcentral is "uncharacterized LOC113553528, transcript variant X1". The record is from RNAcentral. Lineage: Eukaryota; Metazoa; Arthropoda; Insecta; Hemiptera; Aphididae.